RNAcentral lists this ribosomal RNA (465 nucleotides) under Vreelandella stevensii. RNAcentral describes it as "partial 16S ribosomal RNA". It matches the Rfam family "Bacterial small subunit ribosomal RNA", at positions 338 to 795 of the family's 1533-position model. Lineage: Bacteria; Pseudomonadati; Pseudomonadota; Gammaproteobacteria; Oceanospirillales; Halomonadaceae. The record is from RNAcentral.
CCUACGGGCGGCUGCAGUGGGGAAUAUUGGACAAUGGGGGCAACCCUGAUCCAGCCAUGCCGCGUGUGUGAAGAAGGCCCUCGGGUUGUAAAGCACUUUCAGUGAGGAAGAACGCCUGGUGGUUAAUACCCAUCAGGAAAGACAUCACUCACAGAAGAAGCACCGGCUAACUCCGUGCCAGCAGCCGCGGUAAUACGGAGGGUGCGAGCGUUAAUCGGAAUUACUGGGCGUAAAGCGCGCGUAGGUGGCUUGAUAAGCCGGUUGUGAAAGCCCCGGGCUCAACCUGGGAACGGCAUCCGGAACUGUCAAGCUAGAGUGCAGGAGAGGAAGGUAGAAUUCCCGGUGUAGCGGUGAAAUGCGUAGAGAUCGGGAGGAAUACCAGUGGCGAAGGCAGCCUUCUGGACUGACACUGACACUGAGGUGCGAAAGCGUGGGUAGCAAACAGGAUUAGAUACCCGAGUAGUC